This is a long non-coding RNA of Tetranychus urticae (two-spotted spider mite), 584 nucleotides long. RefSeq lists it as uncharacterized. The record is from RefSeq and is a predicted model, not a curated record. Lineage: Eukaryota; Metazoa; Arthropoda; Arachnida; Trombidiformes; Tetranychidae.
UCUCUUCCUAAACAUCAUUAUUCCUGGUCCUUAAGCUCCUUCACAACCAAUAAAAUCAUCUUUCAAAAUCGUUCAAUUAAUCCCUAAUUGUUGGAUUAACCUUUGUUUUGACAAUAACUCAGGAAAGUGUUAUCAUAAUGAACUCGAUUGUUCGCCAAUGCUUGAAUCCAAGGACUAUUAAAGGUCUACAAAUGAUGCAAAAAAGAGGCUACUCGUAUCCAUAUGAUAAUAAGUUUCUAGUCACUCCACCGCGAACACCAAUAUCGGUAGCUGAAAGAAUAGCUUGGUUUACCCUGCUCUUCACCUCUAUAACCUCUGUCCCUGCUUGGAUUCUUUACCAUCUUCGUCUUUAUCGAGGCCAAACCUACGAUGACUGGAUCAACUAUCAAAACAGAUGGGUCAAAAGUGGAUAAUUGACAAACAUUGCGAGCUAUCGGGAUACCUGACUUGUACCUAAACAUCAGCAAUUCCAGUUAAUUAAGAUCAUGUGCUGCUUUCGAUGCAAUUAAAAUCAAAAGUGCCAGAAAUAUAAAUACAAUUAAAUUAAAUAAAUUAAAGAAUAAUAUUGGGAAAAUUAACCAGAA